This 253-nucleotide ribosomal RNA is filed under the name [Lactobacillus] rogosae. RNAcentral's name for it is "Lactobacillus rogosae partial 16S ribosomal RNA". It matches the Rfam family "Bacterial small subunit ribosomal RNA", at positions 524 to 776 of the family's 1533-position model. The record is from RNAcentral. Lineage: Bacteria; Bacillati; Bacillota; Clostridia; Lachnospirales; Lachnospiraceae.
UACGUAUGGAGCAAGCGUUAUCCGGAUUUACUGGGUGUAAAGGGAGUGUAGGUGGCCAGGCAAGUCAGAAGUGAAAGCCCGGGGCUCAACCCCAGGACUGCUUUUGAAACUGCAGGGCUAGAGUGCAGGAGGGGCAAGUGGAAUUCCUAGUGUAGCGGUGAAAUGCGUAGAUAUUAGGAGGAACACCAGUGGCGAAGGCGGCUUGCUGGACUGUAACUGACACUGAGGCUCGAAAGCGUGGGGAGCAAACAGG